GAGUUUGAUCCUGGCUCAGGAUGAACGCUGGCGGCGUGCUUAACACAUGCAAGUCGAACGGGAAACCUUUUAUUGAAGCUUCGGCAGAUUUAGAUUGUUUCUAGUGGCGGACGGGUGAGUAACGCGUGGGUAACCUGCCUUAUACAGGGGGAUAACAGUCAGAAAUGACUGCUAAUACCGCAUAAGCGCACAGAGCUGCAUGGCUCGGUGUGAAAAACUCCGGUGGUAUAAGAUGGACCCGCGUUGGAUUAGCUUGUUGGUGAGGUAACGGCCCACCAAGGCGACGAUCCAUAGCCGGCCUGAGAGGGUGAACGGCCACAUUGGGACUGAGACACGGCCCAGACUCCUACGGGAGGCAGCAGUGGGGAAUAUUGCACAAUGGGGGAAACCCUGAUGCAGCGACGCCGCGUGAAGGAAGAAGUAUCUCGGUAUGUAAACUUCUAUCAGCAGGGAAGAUAGUGACGGUACCUGACUAAGAAGCCCCGGCUAACUACGUGCCAGCCGCCGCGGUAAUAC
This 516-nucleotide ribosomal RNA is filed under the name uncultured bacterium. Its description in RNAcentral is "bacterial SSU rRNA". It matches the Rfam family "Bacterial small subunit ribosomal RNA", at positions 9 to 526 of the family's 1533-position model. The record is from RNAcentral.